UGUUUCUUUUUAGAACUCGCAUUUUCUAUGGAUUCAACAUAGAGGAGGUGUCCUUCAAGGGCCGGAGAAUACCGAUAUAUCAUAUGCAUUUCUCUUAUUUUGUGCAGUUGUCCCAACAAAGAAUAAAUUGGAUGCAUAUUUAAUCUCGAUAUCAAAAAGUUGUCUAGUUUGUUUCUUAUGUUGCUAUCAAAAAAGUGAUUAUAAUUUAGAAAAUGAAUAAGAAAAUACAAUAGAAGAUAUACGGACGAAGCCAUUUGAAUGUGGAGACAAAUGGACGUAAAAAUAUAUAUAUAUAUAUAUAUAUAUA
This is a long non-coding RNA of Sipha flava (yellow sugarcane aphid), 307 nucleotides long. RefSeq lists it as uncharacterized. Lineage: Eukaryota; Metazoa; Arthropoda; Insecta; Hemiptera; Aphididae. The record is from RefSeq and is a predicted model, not a curated record. The transcript is spliced from 3 exons.